This 884-nucleotide ribosomal RNA is filed under the name Halobacterium salinarum. RNAcentral describes it as "bacterial SSU rRNA". It matches the Rfam family "Archaeal small subunit ribosomal RNA", at positions 21 to 907 of the family's 1478-position model. Lineage: Archaea; Methanobacteriati; Methanobacteriota; Halobacteria; Halobacteriales; Halobacteriaceae. The record is from RNAcentral.
AGCCAUUGCUAUCGGAGUCCGAUUUAGCCCUGCUAGUUGUGCGGGUUUAGACCCGCAGCGGAAAGCUCAGUAACACGUGGCCAAGCUACCCUGUGGACGGGAAUACUCUCGGGAAACUGAGGCUAAUCCCCGAUAACGCUUUGCUCCUGGAAGGGGCAAAGCCGGAAACGCUCCGGCGCCACAGGAUGCGGCUGCGGUCGAUUAGGUAGACGGUGGGGUAACGGCCCACCGUGCCCAUAAUCGGUACGGGUUGUGAGAGCAAGAGCCCGGAGACGGAAUCUGAGACAAGAUUCCGGGCCCUACGGGGCGCAGCAGGCGCGAAACCUUUACACUGUACGAAAGUGCGAUAAGGGGACUCCGAGUGUGAAGGCAUAGAGCCUUCACUUUUGUACACCGUAAGGUGGUGCACGAAUAAGGACUGGGCAAGACCGGUGCCAGCCGCCGCGGUAAUACCGGCAGUCCGAGUGAUGGCCGAUCUUAUUGGGCCUAAAGCGUCCGUAGCUGGCUGAACAAGUCCGUUGGGAAAUCUGUCCGCUUAACGGGCAGGCGUCCAGCGGAAACUGUUCAGCUUGGGACCGGAAGACCUGAGGGGUACGUCUGGGGUAGGAGUGAAAUCCUGUAAUCCUGGACGGACCGCCGGUGGCGAAAGCGCCUCAGGAGAACGGAUCCGACAGUGAGGGACGAAAGCUAGGGUCUCGAACCGGAUUAGAUACCCGGGUAGUCCUAGCUGUAAACGAUGUCCGCUAGGUGUGGCGCAGGCUACGAGCCUGCGCUGUGCCGUAGGGAAGCCGAGAAGCGGACCGCCUGGGAAGUACGUCUGCAAGGAUGAAACUUAAAGGAAUUGGCGGGGGAGCACUACAACCGGAGGACCCUGCGGUUUAAUG